Molecule: long non-coding RNA, 279 nt
Filed under: Carica papaya (papaya)
Lineage: Eukaryota; Viridiplantae; Streptophyta; Magnoliopsida; Brassicales; Caricaceae
Description: long non-coding RNA (CPAP_LNC000739)
Source: RNAcentral
GGGUUCAGUUUUCUCUUCCUGCCGAACCUACUAAUUCUUUUGAAAGGGGUGACCUUAAGGAACACCCGGUCGCCUUGUUCAAACGCUAAAUCUCUUCUCUGGGUGUCCGCAUAACUCUUCUUCCUGCUCUGAGCCGUUUGAAUGUUCUUUCUGAUUUUAACUAUUUUAGACGUGGUCUCCUCCACCAACUCCGGGCCGAACAAUUUUAUGUCGCCCACUUCUUCCCAACAAAUCGGUGAUCUGCAUGGGCGCCCAUAUAACGCAUCGUACGAAGCCAUA